This 28-nucleotide small RNA is filed under the name Bombyx mori (domestic silkworm). Its description in RNAcentral is "ovarian small RNA-9975". Lineage: Eukaryota; Metazoa; Arthropoda; Insecta; Lepidoptera; Bombycidae. The record is from RNAcentral.
AAACGAUGUACCUGCCUAUAUUUCUGUU